Syngnathus typhle (broad-nosed pipefish) is the source of this 466-nucleotide long non-coding RNA. RefSeq lists it as uncharacterized. The transcript has 4 exons. NCBI's taxonomy places the organism in Eukaryota, Metazoa, Chordata, Actinopteri, Syngnathiformes, Syngnathidae. The record is from RefSeq and is a predicted model, not a curated record.
UCAUCAACCUCUUGUCCAGGUUACUAUAAACUUGGCAUUGUUUAAAAGCACUUACCCGCUGUUUAUUUUAUGCCUCACUCUUCCUGCAGAGCAAUUUCCAGUAAGGAUGCAGUUAGAACAUCUGCCACCUGCUGGCCAAAGGCAGAGGUGGAAAAUCCAGGUCCAGAACGUGAAACUUCCUGCCAGUUUGUCUUCCGCCUCUGUGCCCUAGUUCACCUAGGUCUAUGCUGCCGGAAGAGCCAUCUGCUAUGUAGCGCGCGAUCUGAUGGUAGUGGAAGCUGAGGACAAGAGUAGCAGCACUUUGUUGUUUUUGCUUACUCAGCUCUAAGGCAACCUGAGAAGAAGCAAGGAGCACAAUCUGCUUCCUGGUCAUGCAGCUUCCAAUACCCAGUGCAAUAAACUUCUUGCACACUGGUAAGUAUCAUGCCAAAACAUUUUCUGCACAAAAUGUUGAUUUACAUUUUUA